This 1102-nucleotide ribosomal RNA is filed under the name Evolvocassidulina orientalis. RNAcentral describes it as "bacterial SSU rRNA". It matches the Rfam family "Eukaryotic small subunit ribosomal RNA", at positions 1160 to 1828 of the family's 1831-position model. Lineage: Eukaryota; Foraminifera; Rotaliida; Cassidulinidae. The record is from RNAcentral.
AAGGGCACCACAAGAACGCGUGGAGCAUGUGGCUUAAUUUGACUCAACGCGGGAAAUCUUACCGGGUCCGGACACACUGAGGAUUGACAGGCAAUAUUAUAAAGUAAUAACUUACAUUCGUGUAUUUUGUUUUUUAUAUGUUAAAUAUGCUAGUCCUUUCAUGAUUAUGUGAUAGGUGGNGCAUGGCCGUUCUUAGUUCGUGGAGUGAUCUGUCUGCUUAAUUGCGUUUCACUAUUGGGCUUAUAUAAUUACGUAUGUUGCUAUUUGACGCUUUGACCCCNUUUCCUACGGGAUAUUGCGUGUGUCUUUGUUUACGUCUAUAGCUCAUACGAUUCAGCCCUGAAAGCAACGAACGUGACCGCAACCUCUUGUUGCUCUCAAUUACACUAAUACUGCAUUAUGAAUAUAUUUUAUAUAUUUUUUUGCAAUAAGAGAGCUUUCUAAACUAGAGGGACCGCUGUUACUUUCUUAAACCAGAGGAAGGUUGCGGCAAUAACAGGUCUGUGAUGCCCUUAGAUGUUCCGGGCUGCACACGUGCUACAAUGAUUAUUGCAGUGAGCAUCUCAUUUUUUUACACAUCGCAUGCGCGAGUCCAUUUAUUCAUAUAUGCUUCGGUGUAAUGUUUNAAAUGCGUNUACUCUGCGCGCGAUAAAGCCUACUUCGAAAGUAAGUGGGUAAUCAAUUAGAAGUAAUGAUUUCCUAUAUAUUUUUUUAUCUGCACACAUAUAUAUGGCGCUACAUACCCGGGUAACCUUUGUUGUUACUCUUGUGCGUAUGUGCGUAUGUCUUCACCGAUAUAAUUUCCAUAUGUGCAAUUGUCAAUUCAUGGUGGGGACAGACCAUUGUUAAUUGUUGGUCUCGGUCUUAACUAGGAAUGCCUUGUACGGAUCUUUGGUUCAACAAAUCAUCCGGAAUACGUCCCUGCCCUUUGUACACACCGCCCGUCGCUCUUACCGAUGGACUUCUCUGUGAGUUUGAGGGACUGGUAUAGUGUAUUGAUUUAUUUCAUUACACACCACUAUAGAAACUUAAACGAACAGUGGGGUCUAAAGGAAAGAGAAGUCGUAACAAGGCAUCAGUAGGUGAACCUGCAGAAGGAUCA